GGUUGAAGGUUGAGUAACAUCAACUGGAGGACCGAACCGACUAAUGUUGAAAAAUUAGCGGAUGACUUGUGGCUAGGGGUGAAAGGCCAAUCAAACUCGGAGAUAGCUGGUUCUCCCCGAAAGCUAUUUAGGUAGCGCCUCGGACGAAUACUACUGGGGGUAGAGCACUGUUAAGGCUAGGGGGUCAUCCCGACUUACCAACCCUUUGCAAACUCCGAAUACCAGUAAGUACUAUCCGGGAGAUACACGGCGGGUGCUAACGUCCGUCGUGGAGAGGGAAACAACCCAGACCGCCAGCUAAGGUCCCAAAGUAUUGCUAAGUGGGAAACGAUGUGGGAAGGCUCAGACAGCUAGGAUGUUGGCUUAGAAGCAGCCAUCAUUUAAAGAAAGCGUAAUAGCUCACUAGUCGAGUCGGCCUGCGCGGAAGAUGUAACGGGGCUAAGCAAUACACCGAAGCUGCGGCAAUGUCUUUUAGACAUUGGGUAGGGGAGCGUUCUGUAAGCCGUUGAAGGUGAAUCGUAAGGUUUGCUGGAGGUAUCAGAAGUGCGAAUGCUGACAUGAGUAACGACAAAGGGGGUGAAAAACCUCCUCGCCGGAAGACCAAGGGUUCCUGUCCAACGUUAAUCGGGGCAGGGUGAGUCGACCCCUAAGGUGAGGCCGAAAGGCGUAAUCGAUGGGAAACGGGUUAAUAUUCCCGUACUUCUGACUAUUGCGAUGGGGGGACGGAGAAGGCUAGGUGGGCCAGGCGACGGUUGUCCUGGUUCAAGUGCGUAGGCUUGAGAGUUAGGUAAAUCCGGCUCUCUCUAAGGCUGAGACACGACGUCGAGCUACUACGGUAGUGAAGUCAUUGAUGCCAUGCUUCCAGGAAAAGCCUCUAAGCUUCAGAUAGUCAGGAAUCGUACCCCAAACCGACACAGGUGGUCGGGUAGAGAAUACCAAGGCGCUUGAGAGAACUCGGGUGAAGGAACUAGGCAAAAUGGUACCGUAACUUCGGGAGAAGGUACGCUCUUGAUGGUGAAGUCCCUCGCGGAUGGAGCUGACGAGAGUCGCAGAUACCAGGUGGCUGCAACUGUUUAUUAAAAACACAGCACUGUGCAAAAUCGCAAGAUGACGUAUACGGUGUGACGCCUGCCCGGUGCCGGAAGGUUAAUUGAUGGGGUUAGCGCAAGCGAAGCUCUUGAUCGAAGCCCCGGUAAACGGCGGCCGUAACUAUAACGGUCCUAAGGUAGCGAAAUUCCUUGUCGGGUAAGUUCCGACCUGCACGAAUGGCGUAAUGAUGGCCACGCUGUCUCCACCCGAGACUCAGUGAAAUUGAAAUCGCUGUGAAGAUGCAGUGUACCCGCGGCUAGACGGAAAGACCCCGUGAACCUUUACUACAGCUUGGCACUGAACAUUGAACCUACAUGUGUAGGAUAGGUGGGAGGCUAUGAAGACGUGACGCCAGUUGCGUUGGAGCCGUCCUUGAAAUACCACCCUUGUAUGUUUGAUGUUCUAACUUAGACCCAUUAUCUGGGUUGAGGACAGUGCCUGGUGGGUAGUUUGACUGGGGCGGUCUCCUCCCAAAGAGUAACGGAGGAGCACGAAGGUGGGCUAAUCACGGUUGGACAUCGUGAGGUUAGUGCAAUGGCAUAAGCCCGCUUAACUGCGAGAAUGACGGUUCGAGCAGGUGCGAAAGCAGGUCAUAGUGAUCCGGUGGUUCUGUAUGGAAGGGCCAUCGCUCAACGGAUAAAAGGUACUCCGGGGAUAACAGGCUGAUACCGCCCAAGAGUUCAUAUCGACGGCGGUGUUUGGCACCUCGAUGUCGGCUCAUCACAUCCUGGGGCUGAAGUCGGUCCCAAGGGUAUGGCUGUUCGCCAUUUAAAGUGGUACGCGAGCUGGGUUUAGAACGUCGUGAGACAGUUCGGUCCCUAUCUGCCGUGGGCGUUGGAAGAUUGAAGGGGGCUGCUCCUAGUACGAGAGGACCGGAGUGGACGAACCUCUGGUGUUCGGGUUGUGUCGCCAGACGCAUUGCCCGGUAGCUAAGUUCGGAAUUGAUAAGCGCUGAAAGCAUCUAAGCGCGAAGCGAGCCCUGAGAUGAGUCUUCCCUGACAGUUUAACUGUCCUAAAGGGUUGUUCGAGACUAGAACGUUGAUAGGCAGGGUGUGUAAGCGUUGUGAGGCGUUGAGCUAACCUGUACUAAUUGCCCGUGAGGCUUAACCA
Molecule: ribosomal RNA, 2199 nt
Filed under: Vibrio cholerae HC-81A1
Lineage: Bacteria; Pseudomonadati; Pseudomonadota; Gammaproteobacteria; Vibrionales; Vibrionaceae
Description: bacterial LSU rRNA
Rfam family: Bacterial large subunit ribosomal RNA
Source: RNAcentral